AUUGAACGCUGGCGGCAUGCCUAACACAUGCAAGUCGAACGGCAGCAUGAUCUAGCUUGCUAGAUUGAUGGCGAGUGGCGGACGGGUGAGUAACGCGUAGGAAUAUACCUUAAAGAGGGGGAUAACUUGGGGAAACUCAAGCUAAUACCGCGUAAGUUCUGAGGAAGAAAGCUGGGGACCUUCGGGCCUGGCGCUUUAAGAAUAGCCUGCGUACGAUUAGCUAGUUGGUGAGGUAAGGGCUCACCAAGGCGACGAUCGUUAGCUGGUCUGAGAGGAUGGCCAGCCACACUGGGACUGAGACACGGCCCAGACUCCUACGGGAGGCAGCAGUGGGGAAUAUUGGACAAUGGGGGAAACCCUGAUCCAGCAAUGCCGCGUGUGUGAAGAAGGCCUGAGGGUUGUAAAGCACUUUCAGUGGGGAGGAGGGAUGACAGGUUAAGAGCUAGUUAUUUGGACGUUACCCACAGAAGAAGCACCGGCUAACUCCGUGCCAGCCGCCGCGGUAA
RNAcentral lists this ribosomal RNA (506 nucleotides) under uncultured bacterium. RNAcentral's name for it is "partial 16S ribosomal RNA". It matches the Rfam family "Bacterial small subunit ribosomal RNA", at positions 30 to 523 of the family's 1533-position model. The record is from RNAcentral.